Molecule: ribosomal RNA, 392 nt
Filed under: uncultured bacterium
Lineage: Bacteria
Description: partial 16S ribosomal RNA
Rfam family: Bacterial small subunit ribosomal RNA
Source: RNAcentral
ACACGUAGGGGCCUGACGUUGUUCGGAAUCAUUGGGCGUAAAGGGCGCGCAGGCGGCCGUCCAAGUCCGGUGUUAAAUGGUCGGGCUCAACCCGAUCAUGCGCUGGAAACUGGGCGGCUGGAGUCCCGGAGGGGAUGCCGGAAUUCCAGGUGUAGGGGUGAAAUCUGUAGAUAUCUGGAAGAACACCGAUGGCGAAGGCAGGCAUCUGGCCGGAGACUGACGCUGAGGCGCGAAGGCGCGGGGAGCGAACAGGUUUAGAUACCCUGGUAGUCCGCGCAGUAAACGAUGCGCACCAGGUGUCGGGCGGCAGCGCCCGGUACCGGAGCAAACGCGAUGAGUGCGCCGCCUGGGGAGUAUGCCCGCAACGGUGAAACUCAAAUGAAUUGGCGGGG